RNAcentral lists this long non-coding RNA (383 nucleotides) under Spirodela polyrhiza (greater duckweed). RNAcentral's name for it is "long non-coding RNA (SPOL_LNC002487)". The record is from RNAcentral. Lineage: Eukaryota; Viridiplantae; Streptophyta; Magnoliopsida; Alismatales; Araceae.
GGGCGUACCUCGUCUUCCCCGCCCGGAACUUGUGCACGGAGGCCCUCCAGCUCUUGUCGUCGAGGAAGAACUCGAAGGAGUAGAGGAAGUUGCGGAGCUGCAGGUGCAGGAUCUCCGGGGUGCCGUCGCACCAGCGGAGGAGGUCGAUGGUGUGGCCGCUGGGGAUCUCGUCGACGUCGGACAUGAUCAGGAGGUCGCCGUCGGAGAUGCCCGCGUGGCGGAGCAGCUGGUCCAGGGCGACCCGCUGGUAGGACUCCUCCACGAAGGGGUUCUCGCCCUUCACGAACCGGCCGGCGAUGGUGCCGUAGGUCAACCUGGGCUUCACGAACUGGAAGUCUUCCCGGUGCUCGGAGAAGAAGAGCGGCUUGGGGAUGCCGGUGAAG